Molecule: ribosomal RNA, 841 nt
Filed under: uncultured marine bacterium
Lineage: Bacteria
Description: bacterial SSU rRNA
Rfam family: Bacterial small subunit ribosomal RNA
Source: RNAcentral
GGGGGGGGGCAUCGCGUCUCUAAUGCAGUCGAAGAAGUCUUCGGACUUAAUGGCGCACGGGUGAGUAACAUGUGGGAAUCGACCUAAAGGUUCUGAAUAACUGCGGGAAACUGUAGCUAAUACCGGAUGUGUCUGCAAAGAGAAAGAUUUAUCGCCUUUAUAUGAGCCCGCACUAGAUUAGCUAGUUGGUGAGGUAAUUGCUCCACCAAGGCUACGAUCUAUAGCUGAUUUGAGAGGAUGAUCAGCCACACUGGGACUGAGACACGGCCCAAACUCCUACGGGAGGCAGCAGUAUGGAAUAUUGGACAAUGGGGGAAACCCUGAUCCAGCAAUGCCGCGUGAGUGAAGAAGGCCCUCGGGUUGUAAAACUCUUUCAUCAAUGAUGAUAAUGACAUUAGUUGAGGAAGAAGCUCCGGCUAACUUCGUGCCAGCAGCCGCGGUAAUACGAAGGGGGCUAGCGUUGUUCGGAAUCACUGGGCGUAAAGCGUAUGUAGGCGGAUCAAAAAGUUAGAUGUGAAAUCCCUGGGCUCAACCCAGGAACUGCAUUUAAAACUAGUGAUCUAGAAUUUGGUAAAGGUUAGUAGAAUUUCCAGUGUAGAGGUGAAAUUCUUAGAUAUUGGAAAGAAUACCAGAAGCGAAGGCGACUAACUAGGCCAUUUUUGACGCUGAGAUACGAAAGCGUGGGUAGCAAACAGGAUUAGAUACCCUGGUAGUCCACGCAGUAAACGAUGAGUGCUAGUCGCUGGGACAUUAGUUUCAGUGUCGAAGCUAACGCAUUAAGCACUCCGCCUGGGAAGUACGGUCGCAAGAUUAAAACUCAUAUAAAUUGACGGGUGCCCGC